GGAGGCCUCGGGCCGCGCCCCACAGGAAGCACCCCGCUUUUGUUGAGGCUGCAGUGCCGAGGGCCCGCCCUUGUUUGCUGGGGCUUUCCUGCCGGGCUCUGUGGCAAGGUGGCUGAAAGCAGAAGGCUCCCCAGCCCCUGGCCGGGCUCCAGCCUAGAGGCUGAGGUCUGGAGGGGAGCCUGAGACGCUGCGUGUGUAACACGCCCCCAGGGGAGGCUGCUCCUUGUGGCCGGAGGCCCACGCCGUGAGGGGCAGAACCCUAGGAGAGGACCCCGAAGAAGUUCGGCAGGUGCAGACGUGGGACAGGGUGUUCCUGAGAGCCAGGACCCUCCAGGGUCUUCUUCAUAGAGAUCCUUCCCUACCGUGGAGGUGCGAAGGCUCUCGGAGCAAGCCUGGUGGUGGAUGGCCAGGCCCCGUGGCUGAACUCCUCCAGUCCUGGGCUCCAGCUAGGACUUCUCAGCUCCAUGUCCUGUGUCUGGGACACGGGGCAGCUAGAGCUCAUUGUAUCUUGCAUUUGAAGGAAGGAAUGACCAUUAACACCUCAGCUGUGGCCCAGCAGGACAACAGCAGAGCAGGCACUGCAGUUAGAAUCAGGUCAGUUCAGUUCCGUCGCUCAGGCAUGUCCAAUUCUUCACGACCCCAUGAACCGCAGCACGCCAGGCCUCCCUGUCCAUCACUGACUCCUGGAGUCCACCCAAACUCGCCCUGGGGCAAAUCCUGGCUCUGCUCUGCGCCAGCUCCCUGGGUCGGGGCAUACCCUGGGACCUCUCGGGCCUCUGUUUCCUCAUCUGUGAAAUGGGGAUGGUAACAGGACCUGCCUCCAAGAGUUGUUGCGUGUCUUCUGUGAUGUAUAUAAAUUGCCUCCAGCUAUUGUCAACCUUCAGUACAUGUUAUCUAUUAUUUUUGUUCAGAGCUGAAGUUGACAUUUGCCAUCUCGACCACAUGUUCCUGCAUUUUAAAAAAUUUUUAGAUGGAUUUUUGUUGGAGUGUAGAUAGCUGACUUACAAUAUUGUGUUAGUUUCUCUCGACCACUUUUUGAUGGGUAUAUUUGGGGAGGAUGGGCAUAUUUGUCUAACCUAUGGCUUAUGAGGGAGCAUCAUUUAUUUUUGUCAUGCCUGCCUUCCAUUGACACGAAUAAUGACAGAUAUUUGUAUUAACUUUUACAAAAUUCUUCCUUGAACCUAAAACAGGAAAACACAUGUAAUGAAAUAAACAGGGGUCUUGGCAGAAUGCUUCAAGCGGGGCCCUUAGGUCAGAGCUGGUUUCUUGAGACCAGCCCUGCUCUGUCAGGCGGGAGGAUUCAGUUGCACUAGCACAUUCCCAGUGCUCAGCGGCCACACGUGGCUCCUGGCUACCAAGCUGGAGAGCCCAGAUACGUAGACGUAGAACCGUCCUCCAGACAGCACUGACAUAGAGUGUAAGGUUUCUUUACAUUAAGAGUUGAGACUAGGACUUCCCUGGUGGACUAGUGGUAAAGAAUUGAUCUGCCAGUGCAGGGGACACAGGUUUGAUCCCUGGUCUGGGAAGAUUCCACAUGCUAAAUGGCAACUAAGCCUCCUGCAACCUCAACUCCUAAGCCUGCAUUCUAGAGCCCAGAAAACAAAGCAAGAGAAACCACAGCAACAAGAAGCCUGAGCACUGCAACUAGACAAAGUCCACGCACAGCAAUGAAGACCCAGUGCAGCCAAAAAUACAUUAAAAAAAAAAAAAAAGAGUUGCAGACUGUAAUUGAGAUACUCAGAGAUGGCAAAAUCCAGAAGUCACGCAAUGAGGAUGUUGCAGAAUUGAGCACAAAAGUUAGGAAAUGGUAAAGGGUACCUUUGCUUUUAGAUGAUAAAGUUUAACUCUACAUUUUUUUGUUCCACGGCUAUUAUUAAGUACCUAGACACUUACUCUUUGCAGAGCUCUAGACUGGCGGCUCUAGGGAGGAUAGUAACGUCUGGCAGAUGCAAUCAGUGACCCCAAAUUGCUUGCCAUUGAGUUGGAUGGAUAGCAAGUAUGUAGAAUACUAAACAGCAAGGAGGAGUUUGAGGAGUGUGAGGAGUUUCAAGGAGGAGUGUGAGGAAGACCCAGUGAGAGGCUGUGAGAGCGGAGUGGAUCUGAAAACAAGCUGUGAUGCUUGACUUUCCCAGGACAGGAGACACAAGUAGAACUGAGUCAAAGAGGCAGAAAGGGG
Molecule: long non-coding RNA, 2176 nt
Organism: Cervus hanglu yarkandensis (Yarkand deer)
Lineage: Eukaryota; Metazoa; Chordata; Mammalia; Artiodactyla; Cervidae
Source: Ensembl